RNAcentral lists this ribosomal RNA (186 nucleotides) under Triticum aestivum (bread wheat). RNAcentral's name for it is "partial small subunit ribosomal RNA". Lineage: Eukaryota; Viridiplantae; Streptophyta; Magnoliopsida; Poales; Poaceae. The record is from RNAcentral.
CUCCGGAAGGCCCUUGCGUCCCUAGUACCGCUGGUCACCUGGGCCAUCUGGAAGCACCGCAAUGCUUGCAUCUUUGACCUUCAGCAACCCUCGGUUAGCUGCUUGUUCUCCUCGAUUCAAGAUGAUGUGCGCACCUGGGCCUCGGCCGGCGCCAAAGGACUCCAAGUUAUAAUUGACGCGUUAUAA